GCCUGUUAGGCACAGUCUCAGUGGAACCAACAAGUUCUGCCUCAAUUCUGACCUAAAUCUGAUUCUGGAUCAGAGAUCAAAGCAGGGCUCGGCUCGGAACUUCCCAUGACUUUUCUGAAGAACAUCCGUCCAGAACUUUAACACUGCCUCCACCUUAGAUCAGAGUCUCUCAUCUUCUCUGUCAAGCAUCUCUGAGGUGCGUUCAGGUACUGCAGUAAAUGUGAAAGAGGAUGACCUCACCCGAGCUUUGAGACGACCUCCUCUGCCUGUUCCUGAGGUCCAAACCAGAACUUUUCAGGCCCAGUUCGGUUUCAUGUGAACAGAGUGAUGUUCAUCCAGAUUGUUGUCUUUUCUAUUUCAGUGUUUGGACGUCAGACAUUAGUUCUCGUUCAGUGAAACUAACGUCGGGCCUGCUGAUUUAAUGACGUGAAUUGUGUUUCCGGUCUGGCCUCGCAGGUGUUUGUUCACCUGAGCCAGAUUGAGGUCAUAGUGCCUGAAAGUCCGGACUGCACUCAAACGCAGCAGUACCUGACACCUGUUGUUCGGAUGGAGCAAAAGCAGUGGACACUGAUGGAAGAUCCCCAGACUUUUUGUUUACCUUGUUGUCCUGCUUCCGGCAAUGUCUGUA
This 628-nucleotide long non-coding RNA is filed under the name Oryzias javanicus (javanese ricefish). Its description in RNAcentral is "lncRNA (ENSOJAG00000019212.1)". Lineage: Eukaryota; Metazoa; Chordata; Actinopteri; Beloniformes; Adrianichthyidae. The record is from RNAcentral.